UGGGGAAUAUUGGACAAUGGGCGAAAGCCUGAUCCAGCCAUGCCGCGUGUGUGAAGAAGGUCUUCGGAUUGUAAAGCACUUUAAGUUGGGAGGAAGGGCAUUAACCUAAUACGUUAGUGUUUUGACGUUACCGACAGAAUAAGCACCGGCUAACUCUGUGCCAGCAGCCGCGGUAAUACAGAGGGUGCAAGCGUUAAUCGGAAUUACUGGGCGUAAAGCGCGCGUAGGUGGUGUGUUAAGUUGGAUGUGAAAUCCCCGGGCUCAAACUGGGAACUGCAUUCAAAACUGACUGACUAGAGUAUGGUAGAGGGUGGUGGAAUUUCCUGUGUAGCGGUGAAAUGCGUAGAUAUAGGAAGGAACACCAGGGGCGAAGGCGACCACCUGGACUAAUACUGACACUGAGGUGCGAAAGCGUGGGGAGCAAACA
Molecule: ribosomal RNA, 427 nt
Filed under: uncultured bacterium
Lineage: Bacteria
Description: partial 16S ribosomal RNA
Rfam family: Bacterial small subunit ribosomal RNA
Source: RNAcentral